RNAcentral lists this ribosomal RNA (433 nucleotides) under uncultured bacterium. Its description in RNAcentral is "bacterial SSU rRNA". It matches the Rfam family "Bacterial small subunit ribosomal RNA", at positions 958 to 1392 of the family's 1533-position model. The record is from RNAcentral.
AACGCGAAGAACCUUACCUGGGUUGAACUCCGUGGGAAAAGCCGCAGAGAUGCGGUGUCCUUCGGGGUCCACGAUAGGUGGUGCAUGGCUGUCGUCAGCUCGUGUCGUGAGAUGUUGGGUUAAGUCCCGCAACGAGCGCAACCCUUGUCCUAUGUUGCCAGCGGGUAAAGCCGGGGACUCGUAGGAGACUGCCGGGGUCAACUCGGAGGAAGGUGGGGACGACGUCAAGUCAUCAUGCCCCUUAUGUCCAGGGCUGCAAACAUGCUACAAUGGCCGGUACAAAGGGCAGCUAAACCGCGAGGUCGAGCGAAUCCCAAAAAGCCGGUCUCAGUUCGGAUUGAAGUCUGCAACUCGACUUCAUGAAGCUGGAGUCGCUAGUAAUCCCGGAUCAGCAACGCCGGGGUGAAUACGUUCCCGGGUCUUGUACACACCG